UACGGAGGAUCCAAGCGUUGUCCGGAUUUAUUGGGUUUAAAGGGUGCGUAGGCGGAUGAUUAAGUCAGUGGUGAAAGCCGGCAGCUCAACUGUCGAACUGCCAUUGAAACUGAUCGUCUUGAAUAUAGUAGAGGUAAGCGGAAUGUAUCAUGUAGCGGUGAAAUGCUUAGAUAUGAUACAGAACACCAAUUGCGAAAGCAGCUUACUAUGCUAUCAUUGACGCUGAGGCACGAAAGCGUGGGGAUCAAACAGG
This 253-nucleotide ribosomal RNA is filed under the name uncultured bacterium. Its description in RNAcentral is "partial 16S ribosomal RNA". It matches the Rfam family "Bacterial small subunit ribosomal RNA", at positions 524 to 776 of the family's 1533-position model. The record is from RNAcentral.